RNAcentral lists this ribosomal RNA (624 nucleotides) under Campylobacter jejuni. RNAcentral describes it as "partial 23S ribosomal RNA". It matches the Rfam family "Bacterial large subunit ribosomal RNA", at positions 1283 to 1914 of the family's 2925-position model. The record is from RNAcentral. Lineage: Bacteria; Pseudomonadati; Campylobacterota; Epsilonproteobacteria; Campylobacterales; Campylobacteraceae.
UACAAGUGAGAAUGCCGGUAUGAGUAACGAUUCAGAGUGAGAAUCUCUGACGCCUAUUGGGGAAGGUUUCCUGGGCAAGGUUCGUCCACCCAGGGUUAGUCGGGUCCUAAGACGAGGCCGAAAGGCGUAGCCGAUGGACAACAGGUUAAUAUUCCUGUACUUUCUUAACAUGUGAUGGAGUGACGGGGAAGGAUAAUUUUACCACUAAUUGGAUUGUGGGGUAAGUAACAACUGGGUUAUGUAGGCAAAUCCGCAUAACUUAACUGGGAGUUACGACGCAUAGCAAAAGGGCAACUGAGUAGCGAAUUAGAUGAUUUCAUGCCUCUUAAAAAAGCUUCUAACAUUAAGUGUUAGGAAACCCGUACCGAGAACGGACACACGUCCCCAAGAUGAGUAUUCUAAGGCGAGCGAGAAAACUAUUGUCAAGGAACUCUGCAAAUUCAUCCCGUAAGUUCGCAAGAAGGGAUGCCCACAAUAAAAUGUGGGCCGCAGUGAAUAGUAAGGGGGAACUGUUUAUCAAAAACACAGCUCUAUGCUAAGUCGUAAGAUGAUGUAUAUGGGGUGACUCCUGCCCAGUGCCCGAAGGUUAAGCAGAGGUGUUAGCAUUAGCGAAGCAUUAAUGUG